Long non-coding RNA from Cavia porcellus (domestic guinea pig), 5173 nucleotides. RefSeq lists it as uncharacterized. Lineage: Eukaryota; Metazoa; Chordata; Mammalia; Rodentia; Caviidae. The transcript has 3 exons. The record is from RefSeq and is a predicted model, not a curated record.
CUCGCUCCCCUUUCCUGGAGCCUCAGCCUCUGGAGAAACUGGACUUUCAGGUCUGUGCAGGUGAGCGCGCCCGCGAUGGCAGAACAAGAGCUACAGGGCUGCCUCCGCAGAAGGCCAGAAACCUCGUGCCUUAACAGCAGGAAGGUGUCUUCUCCCAGUCUGGGCGAGAGAAUGCAGCCUCUAUCCGUCUCUCCCUGCUGCUGGGUGACCAUCUGACUGUGUCUCCUUGGUGUGCCCAGGGGCGACGUGCGAACACCAGGCACAGGCCCAGGCCCUGCUAUGACCUCAGCUUACCUUAGUUCCAUCUUGCAAGGCUCCCUCUCCAAAUACACACCGGUCCACCCUCACUGGUCCAGCUUACUAGAGAUUUGGGCUUGAACUUGUGAAUUUAGGGGGACACAAUUCAGCCCCAAAGACAUCCCUUCCCCGUGCAGGCGGAAAACAGAAUGCACUGAGUUGAAGUGAAGCGGACGAUGGCCGAUGGGCACACGGCACAAGGAAGCAGCAGGACGGGACAGCGGGUCUCCGGGGACAGCCCGGGGGAGAGGUCCGGGCUGCCGGAGCCGUCGUGGCCCCUUCCUCCACCAGGUUCUGAGCCGGGAGCCAGGCCGCGUGGUCCAUGUCUCCCCGGGCGGAGAUCAGAGGCUCUUCCUUUCUUUCUCGGAAUGGAUCAGGUCCCGGGAGAAGUCCGCAGAUCCCACAGACCUGUGGGUGUUUCCCGAUCAGACACAGGGAGGGGGCGGGGGAGGAGAAGCCUAAUUUCCACGACGUCUCCUUGCAAAAGAGCCUUGGCCCCAUCACACUGAGUUCUUGAUAAACGUUUUCCUCCACAUUCUGAAAGAUAACACGAGGACAGGGAACACAGACAUUCCAAAAUGCCUCCAAAAUGUAGGCCCAAGAUCCAAGCCAGUGUCCAAUAAAAAAGAGUAAAAAACCCCCAGAUCAUCCAGAGAUACGGGGUAGAGAUCACAUAAUUAAUAUGUUAGAAGGUACCACAUCCCCAGACAAGAAUAAUAUGCUCUUGAAAAGCCAUAAAAUAAAUUUCAGACAAGAAGGAGCCUAGAAAUAUGAACAAUAUGCAGGCUUAAACAGAGUCCUUCGGGGACAUUUAAAGACUGAACCUAGGACAUCUAGCAAGAACAAAAACACAGGGAAAUGGAUAAUAAAAAAAGAUGUUUACAAUCAGCAUCGAAAGCUGGGCACAGUGUCGCAAACCUGUCAUCCAAGACCAGAGAGGAGACCCCAAGUUCAAGCCUGGCCCGGGUGAUUUAGCAAGAUCUUGUCUCAAAAUUUUUUAAAAAUUAUUUUGAAGGUAGUAAAAUAUAACAGAACAAGAUGGAACAAAGUCAAUCAAGACAGUGCAGUGAAAUUGGUACAGAACUUCACAGCAGGUUACCAGGAUAACAGUAAUAGGCACCAAAGUAUAACUCGUUAUCUUCACAAUAGUUGUUCUUUCAAUCAGGUAUAGCAAAAUCAAACCUAAUACAGAACAUCAUAAAACCUAUCAAAACAGAGUAUUAAAUAGAGCAAUACCAUUAAUCAGAAUAAAGCAGAAGAGUGGUAAAAAUAUUUGCCUUCAGAGAGAUGGUAGAAGGAAAUCCCCCUUAUUUGCUAUGGUCAACCUCCCAAGAGAUGCUCAGACCUCUGUCUCCCAUUUGCUAACGGGGGGCAGGGGAGGUGCACUGGUAGGCUCGCUACCACUUAGCAGGGAGGCGGGCUGGUUGCUUGGUCUCCCAGCACCCUAAGUUCCAACAUGGUGCAGGUCUCAGGAGACACUGGUGGUUCUCCCCGUGGAGGGGCUGCAGCCUGCCACACCACAGCUGCUUACCAGGGAGUUGAGCUGGUUGCUUGGUUUCCCAGCACCCUUGUCUCAAAUUUUAAAAAAGAAUUUUAAAAAAUGAAAAAGGAGAUGUAGCUCAGUGUGAAGGCCCUGGGUUCAUCCCCCAGCAACACACACACACACACACUCACACACGCACACCCCACUGCGGCAAGUUAUCAGAAAAAAGAUAAAAUAUGACAUUAACAUAUUAUUAUUGCUAACAUAUUAACUGUUAUGAGACUUCUGAUUGAUAGGACCCACUUAGUUCUUAACCGUGAAUUCUAAAAAGACACACAUUGAUGAAAUUAUGAAAUUUCUGGACUGAGCUGUUUAAGGAGUCAAAUGAAAAUCAGGAGAAGCUGCUCACAGAGGAAGGAAGCGGUCAGCGUCAGAAUGAGAAGCGGGUGGUGGAGCCCAGCAGUGAGUGUUUGCUUAGGACGCGCUUGGGUCCUCUUCCUAGCGCUGGGAAAAAAGUCUGACAGCAUAAACGUGUUAGGAAGCUUCAGGCUGCUGGAACUUCCGACCGAGUAGGAAGUCCCGUGCAGCUGGUUUGUGUCGGCAGACACCCCACUGCAGGAGGCUGAGGCGGGAGGAUGUUGAGUUGAAGGCCAGCCUCAGCUGUGUAGCAAGAUCCUGUCUCAAAAAUAAAAAAACAUAGGAAAAGAGGCUGGGGAUGUAGCUCAGUGGUACAGACUCUGCCUAGCAUGCGUGAGGCCCUGGGUUUGAUCCUCAGCACUACGAAAAAGAAAAAGCUGGAUAGAAUGAGCCACGGACUGGUACGCACAUUUCAAUGUUAGUCAGGAUUGUUUUCUGUAUCUUUACUCGGUGGAAUUAUUCAGCUGAAACUACUUUCCUACACAUACGUCAUACGUAGUGUUUAGCAGUGACGGGAGCCUUUUAGAGCGUGCACGCAUCACCCACUGCCCGCUGCAGCACGCAGGCUACAAGCUCGCCACCACUGUGCACACACACAUAGACACAGUUGGGGUUUUGUGCAUGUAAGUGUGGGUUUUUGUGGUUGUUGUUUUGAUAGUCCUCCUGCCUCAGCCUCCUGAGGGCUGGGAUUACAGGCAUGCGCCACUAUGUCUGGCUGGAUAAACAGCUUUGAUCAAAAUAUAAUUAAGAAAUUAAAAAUCAUGCCCAAAGCCUCUCCCGUGCUCUCUCUCCCAUGGUCUUCCCCUCCCAGGCUCUUCUCAUGUCUUCUGCUCUCUGCUCCCACCUGUGUGGCUCGCAGCCCCCUCGGCUCAGACGCGGCCAUCUGUCCCACAGGGUGACCUCCCCUGCUCUCUCCGGCCGGGCCAGGCUUCUUAGCACCAGGCGCCCACAUCUCGUCUCCUCUCGGGGCCUUCGCCCUCUGACCUUCUCUCACCCUAGACCUGACUCACGCGUGGGAAGACCCUGUCCCAUUCCACCCCAGCCCACGGCGGGAGCUGAUGGACAGAGACAGCGGCCGAGCCACCAGUGAACGCCGUCGUGAGCGUGGACUGGCCACUGUCGAGGGGCACUACUGGGCAAGUACAACAGUCAUGGAUACACGGAGGGCCACGGUUGCUUCACCUCGCUGGGGCUGGACCCAUGUUCUGUGAGGUCCCGGGUCCCUUUCCCAAGAGUUGAAAAAAGCUGAUGUCCCAACAAGUACAGAAGUGGAGACGAGCAAAAGCCAGCAGAGAUCCUGCAAGGCGAGGUGCUCCACGGUGCGAAGGACACACUGGACCUUCACUUUGGGGAUGUCAGCAGCCGGGCCUUGAUUUGCACCUUCCAAAGCCCACCCUCCCUGCCUGCGACCCUCCGGCGUGACGCUAUCCUUUACCAUGGGAGACUUUCCAGGAGGCCUCCCGGAGGAAAGGAGGAAAUGCCAGGAUGGGAAGCCAGAGACCACGGCGGGCUCCCGGCACACGGUAUCCCGGAGAUUGUUAAUGAGGCGUGCGUACUGUUGAUCUCCUGAUGUCUUCAAAAGUCUCAACCAGGGACAGACAUUCAGACAACCCAGCAGAGUGAGACAGCCCAGGCUGUGUCUGAAAACCUCCGAUUGCCUAGGACACGUAAGCAGCCUCACCACCGUCAAGACCUCUGUGCUCGGACCAAGUACAGCCCUGGCCCAUCCCACGAAGGGAGUCCCCACCCCACGGGGGUGCUGCCCGCCUGGUGUGGCCUUUGUCUGAGGCCACAGAUGGACAGAAGUGUUCUUGUCCAAAUUUGGGACGACCAGGUCACAAGUAUGACUAAAAGCAUAAAACACAAAUAAAACUUGACGGAUGGGUCAAAAAGGCCAGCGAGGUAUUUGGAAGGACCUGAAAGUGAAACGGACCAAAAACAGAGGUGGCAGCUGUGUGGACAACCUAGGACGCAGGCCGAGGGUCAUGACAGAGCUGCAGCCAGAGCCCUGGACGGCAGGCAGCGCCUGCAGCUUCCGUGGACACAGUGGUCAGCUUCCUCUGCCUUCCCAGCGUGCCCUGGGGUGCUGCUUCCCUGGGGGCCCUGGAAGGGAGCCUGGACCUUCUGGGCUGCGCUGCAGGUCCUGGACGGGUCCCUGGGACAUGUGCUGGCCACACCCUUCUCCGUCUGUCAGGGGUUAGGGGCAGCAGAGUUCAGUGCUGGCCUCGGUGGGUUUUUAGUAGGAGCAGAGGUGACUACAACCAGGUGUCCUUGCCAGGCAGGAGGGGCGGUCAUGGGUUCAGGUGUGGCCCAUUGGAAGAAGGUCUCCCAAGCCAUGAACGCUUCCCAUGUCCGAUGCUUCUCCUUCCCUUCCCUUCUCUUUUCUGUACUGGGACUUGAACUCAGGCCCUUUGCACUGAGCUAUAUCCUGAGCCUACCUCCCUUUAAAAUGUCUUAUUUUGUAGGGCCCUCUAUGUUUUUAGGUUUCUCUGGUUGGGCUGGAACUUGGAAGCCUCUCGCCUCAGCCUCCCAGAGAUGAGAGGUACACACCACCACACCUGGUCCUUGACUCUAGGGCCAGAUAGCAUCUUGGAAAUCUCUUGAGGCUGCUGCUGGAAUGUUAGAUGUUAGUGAUACUCUUGGGUUUUACUGCUUAAAAUGUAGCCACAGACCUUGGCUUUUGGGAAAACUAAUUGAAGACUAAUCAUAGCACCAGAUGGGAGGCAGCCAUACCAGACAGAUGGGAUUGUGGGUAGUUUUUAAAGUUUAAAAGAAGGCUGGUGUGGUAGCACAUGCCUGUCACCCCAGCACCCCAGAGGCUGAGGCAGGAGGAUCUCUCUGAGUUAGAGGCCAACCUGGGCUACAUAGGGAGUUCAAAGCCAGUCUGAAAUGCACAGUGAGACCCCAUUUCAUAAAUAAAACAAUCAAGUUUGUCUUGAAUACAACUUAGUAAAACAAAUGGCUAUAAACAUUAAA